RNAcentral lists this ribosomal RNA (575 nucleotides) under uncultured bacterium. Its description in RNAcentral is "bacterial SSU rRNA". It matches the Rfam family "Bacterial small subunit ribosomal RNA", at positions 56 to 628 of the family's 1533-position model. The record is from RNAcentral.
UGCAAGUCGAACGGAGCACCCUUGACGGAGUUUUCGGACAACUGAUAGGAAUGCUUAGUGGCGGACUGGUGAGUAACGCGUGAGGAACCUGCCUUUCAGAGGGGGACAACAGUUGGAAACGACUGCUAAUACCGCAUGAUACAUUUGGGCGGCAUCGCUUGAAUGUCAAAGAUUUUAUCGCUGAAAGAUGGCCUCGCGUCUGAUUAGCUAGUUGGCGGGGUAACGGCCCACCAAGGCGACGAUCAGUAGCCGGACUGAGAGGUUGACCGGCCACAUUGGGACUGAGAUACGGCCCAGACUCCUACGGGAGGCAGCAGUGGGGAAUAUUGGGCAAUGGACGCAAGUCUGACCCAGCAACGCCGCGUGAAGGAAGAAGGCUUUCGGGUUGUAAACUUCUUUUAAGAGGGAACAGAAGAAGAGGGUACCUCUUGAAUAAGCCACGGCUAACUACGUGCCAGCAGCCGCGGUAAUACGUAGGUGGCAAGCGUUGUCCGGAUUUACUGGGUGUAAAGGGCGUGUAGCCGGGGAGACAAGUCAGAUGUGAAAUCUGGAGGCUCAACCUCCAAACUGCAUUU